UGCAGAUACAAAUAAAUACGUACUGUUACACCCAUACUCUAAAAUGGGGGGUAAGAAAAUACAUGCAGUUGACUAGAGAUGACUCUUUGAAAGGUUUCAGAAGGGAAACUCCCCAUGCAGGGGGGUUGGAACUAGAUGACUUUAAGGUCCUUUCCAACCCAAACAACUAUGUGAUACUAUGAAAACUGGCCUUUGUAAGUAUUCAUCCUAGUGCUACCUACACUAUAUAGAAACUGGAUUCAUUAAAAUUAUGCUGUAGCAAGACUGCAGUAUUGUAACUUGCUGGAUUCACAAAAUACGUAGAAGCAAACUAAAUAGAUUUUCAAGAUUGAUUUUGUUAUUUGGCAAAGUUCUGUGUUAUUUUAUGCAAGAAUAUGCCUUUAUGUUCUCACAGUUAUUUUAGCCUGGCAAUUACUUUUAAAUUGUGAAUUCUCAGGGCUUUUACAGUUAGGAGCCGUAAUUUACUGAAAGUAUGCUAAUUACAGGCAGAUCCCAAUGUGCAUGUUACAGGUUUAUUAGUCUUUUUUGAAUAGCAGAUUAUUAAAGUUACAUUUAUUUUGUUCUGUAUUGCCAUUCAGAGUAUCCUAGGAUUAAACAUAAGUGGCAAUAUUGUUACUGUCACACUGUGAUUGUGUAAUUGUGCUCAUCAUCAGACAGAAAUAAGGAAUUUUUACUAAUUUAUUUAUGGAAGCUGUUAAUGUUUUUGAGUACAGACAGAAAAUAUUUUGUGAAUGAAGCUGUUCUUAAUGCAAAACAUAAUAUUUGUAAUCCGUACUAAUUUAAUUGUGGUGAAUUAUCUAAAAAUUGUUAACACUUUUAUAUACCAUAGUGUUUAUGCAGUGGUUUACAGUAGUCAUGGAAUUAUUUUUAUUACAUGGAAAUAAAGUUUUGAUCUUUAUUUCUGAGCUAUAUUGUGUUUAGAGACUCAAAAAUUGACACAGAUUUUCCUCUGUGAUUUAAUUUUAGCAUUCUUAAUCAAUUCAGGGUUUCAACUGUUAGGACUGGCAUUCACUGCUUCAGUUGAGAAAUAGGUCUAACUAUUAUACAAAUAAACUAUAUCAGCAGAGUGGUGCUUAAAACAUAAUAACUUUUCCAUUCUGUUGUUCUCUGUCUCAGAUGUCCUAAGAACAUACAAAAUGUCAGACUGGAGCUAUCUGUCAGUCACUGCACAUCUGGCAAAGCAAGCAAAUACAGUCUCUUACUAAGAAGUCUCAGCAUACAUGCUGUCCUUGCAUGAAAAGUUCAAUAAUGAAGGUGAGAAUAGAGUGGUGGAAUCAAUGCCAAUGAGGUGGAAGGGAGCGAGAGAGAAGGACAUGCACACAUGAUAAAUAUGUUGAGAUGCAUGCCUUAUUGUCCUCCAUGUGCCUUCCCAUGCAACUCAGGGCCUUGCACUUGCCCUGCAGGAACCACAUUUUUCAUCUAGGCACAUGACAGCACCCCAGCUUUGCUUUCUGAUGUCCUUAGAUUUGGAGGCAUCCUGUGACACCUGUGUGUAUGUUAGUGUGCCUCAGAACCUUCAAUUCACAUUUUGGGGUGCCCCAGAGUCCUCCACAUGGCUUCUGCACCCUGUGUUUUGUCCGGCAGUGGCCCACCAAAUUCUCCAUUUAGAUUUCUUCUCUCCUCCAGAGUUUUCUGUGUGCUUUUGGAUGUUCACAAUCAGCUUUUGGUUGCCCCAGGAGCCCUCUUUUGCCUUUCCAUGCCCCAGAAAGGGGGUCAAUUUCUCCAGGAACUGACUGGCCAACCAUUCCCUGCUGGACCGACAUGUAUGGCUCAGGGAAUGAUUGCUGAGGUGUCCUAGGGGCAGGGUGAGAAUCGGGGAAGGGGUCUGGACCCCAGAGCAGACUUGCUCCCUUGAGUUAAAUGUGUGACUUAGUAAACACUUGCUGUCUCAUUUUCCCUCCUGGCCACGGUUCUUUCCACGUGGUGGGAGUGUGAUGGAGCCCAGGGAAGGAGAUGACACACUCUGUGGGGUGGGUGAUGAUGGAUGGCCUGGUGUUGCAGAUGGGCCAGGGCUGGAGGAGGCCCGGGUGUGGACGAGGAGGCUGAUGGCAGCCCGGUGCCCAAAAAUCAGUACUGCAGUGCAAGAAUUGCACUCCGUGGUGCUGCCACGCUGUGCGUUGCCGUCCGCCGGUAACGCAGUGUGAUGCUGCAGUGCCUCCGGGAUGAUGCUGCUGCACUGGUCGAUGCCUCCCGGUACGGAAACGCGGCUGCCGCCGGGAAAACCGUGGAACUGUAGCACCGGUGCCGCGGAUGGGCACGCGCUGCCCGCCGGGAGCUGCUGCCGCCUCGUGCCCGAGUUGCGGUACUGCAGCACCAGCAAUGUAAGGGCGCAGCCGCCGUCUUCUCUGCUGCCACCUGCUGACCGAGGUUCCGUACUGCAGCUCGAGAGCUCCGCACGCACACAGUUCCGCUUCGUGCUCGCAGCUGCCACCAGCCGAACAAAAUUAAAGACGUCGUGGAGCCGUGAGUCUGACACAGGCCACUCUUACCCCAUCCGCCCGUGCGGGGCAGCUGACAUCUGGUGGGACAAGGGCGGGGGCAGGUGGUCUGAGGGAGCUGCAGCCCUUUAUUUUUUCUGUUUGUAUACCUGUGUGUAAAGAAAUACGUACAUGGAAAAAUCCACACUUUAUGUCCUAAAACUGCAAAUAAAUGGUAUGAAGAGCGUGC
This is a long non-coding RNA of Apus apus (common swift), 2667 nucleotides long. RefSeq lists it as uncharacterized. NCBI's taxonomy places the organism in Eukaryota, Metazoa, Chordata, Aves, Apodiformes, Apodidae. The record is from RefSeq and is a predicted model, not a curated record. The transcript is spliced from 2 exons.